RNAcentral lists this transfer RNA (74 nucleotides) under Clostridiaceae bacterium. RNAcentral's name for it is "tRNA-Met". It matches the Rfam family "tRNA". Rfam says of the family: Transfer RNA (tRNA) molecules are approximately 80 nucleotides in length. Their secondary structure includes four short double-helical elements and three loops (D, anti-codon, and T loops). The record is from RNAcentral. Lineage: Bacteria; Bacillati; Bacillota; Clostridia; Eubacteriales; Clostridiaceae.
UGCGGGGUGUGCAGUGGUAGCUAAUCGGGUUCAUAUCCCGAACGUCGUGGGUUCGAAUCCCAUUCCCGCAACCA